CUCCUACGGGAGGCAGCAGUGGGGAAUAUUGCGCAAUGGACGAAAGUCUGACGCAGCGACGCCGCGUGUGGGAUGAAGCUCUUCGGGGUGUAAACCACUGUUGCCCGGGAAGAAUCUCCUGAUUCGUCAGGAUUGACGGUACCGGGUGAGGAAGCACCGGCUAACUCUGUGCCAGCAGCCGCGGUAAUACAGAGGGUGCGAGCGUUGUCCGGAAUCACUGGGCGUAAAGGGCGCGUAGGUGGCUGGGUAAGUGUGCGGUGAAAGCCCGGGGCUCAACCCCGGGUCUGCCGUGCAGACUGCUUGGCUUGAGCACAGUAGAGGCAGGUGGAAUUCCGGGUGUAGCGGUGGAAUGCGUAGAGAUCCGGAAGAACACCGGUGGCGAAGGCGGCCUGCUGGGCUGUUGCUGACACUGAUGCGCGACAGCGUGGGGAGCAAACAGGAUUAGAUACCCUGGUAGUCCACGCCGUAAACGAUGGGUACUAGGUGUCUGGGGGAACGACCCCCUGGGUGCCGGCGCUAACGCAUGAA
Molecule: ribosomal RNA, 528 nt
Filed under: uncultured bacterium
Lineage: Bacteria
Description: bacterial SSU rRNA
Rfam family: Bacterial small subunit ribosomal RNA
Source: RNAcentral